GCAACGCGAAGAACCUUACCAGGCCUUGACAUCCAAUGAACUUUCCAGAGAUGGAUUGGUGCCUUCGGGAACAUUGAGACAGGUGCUGCAUGGCCGUCGUCAGCUCGUGUCGUGAGAUGUUGGGUUAAGUCCCGUAACGAGCGCAACCCUUGUCCUUAGUUACCAGCACGUUAUGGUGGGCACUCUAAGGAGACUGCCGGUGACAAACCGGAGGAAGGUGGGGAUGACGUCAAGUCAUCAUGGCCCUUACGGCCUGGGCUACACACGUGCUACAAUGGUCGGUACAGAGGGUCGCCAAGCCGCGAGGUGGAGCUAAUCUCACAAAACCGAUCGUAGUCCGGAUCGCAGUCUGCAACUCGACUGCGUGAAGUCGGAAUCGCUAGUAAUCG
RNAcentral lists this ribosomal RNA (389 nucleotides) under Pseudomonas sp. A53. RNAcentral describes it as "bacterial SSU rRNA". It matches the Rfam family "Bacterial small subunit ribosomal RNA", at positions 956 to 1344 of the family's 1533-position model. The record is from RNAcentral. Lineage: Bacteria; Pseudomonadati; Pseudomonadota; Gammaproteobacteria; Pseudomonadales; Pseudomonadaceae.